CACUGCACUCACUGUCAGCCUGGGUGAGAAGAGCAAAACUCCAUCUCAAAAAAUAAAAAUAAUUCUCCUUCCCCUUGGUGAGGAAAUGGAGAUGACACCUCUUUCUGGCCGGAUGGGAAAUGGCAGUAAAUGGUCACAGUUCCCCUUCCUCUUGGUGGCCAAGGAAGCAUUCUGAUUGGGCCUAAAGUCGAGGAAACUCCCAUUUCCAAAGUGCCUGCUGGGUCCUUGUCAGCCAAGGGAAGACCAUCACAUAUCCAUGAAGGUUCAUUUUCAGUGUCGACUUGGCCAUGGGAUGCCCAGGCAUUUGGUCAGACAUGAUUCUGGCAUGGCUGUGAGGGUGUUUCUGGAUGCAAUUUGCCUUUGAAUGGGCAGACGGAGAACAGCAGAACGUCCUCCCUGGUGUGGGUGGGCCUCGUCCAAUCAGUUGAAGGCUUGCUAGAGCAAAAAGGCUGACGCUCCCACAGGUAGAAGGACAUUACCUGCCUGACUGCUUGCGCUGGGACAUCAUUUUUUCUUGCCUUCAGACUUGCACUGAGACUUCAGCUCGUCUCACAUCUUGAGCCUGCUGGUUUUUGGACUGGAGCUACACCAUUGGCUGUCCAGGUCUUCAGCUUGCCAACUCACACUGCAGCCUCCAUCAUCAAGCUGUUCACUGGCUUUGGACGCCUCCAAUGAAGAGGUCACCAAGCUUUCCGUCAUAGAGGAGCAGCAGCAUUCAGGGAAAGGAUGGCGGAUCGCAAAACACUCCCCUUGGUGACAGGCUGAAAUGCAGAAGGACCAGUAUAGAACGCUCCUCAAGCUUUUAGAACUGAGCGUAUUUUAAGGUCAGAAUCACAACCAAGACAAAAGAAUGCAACUCUUUUCAUGUCGUAUACCUUUGGUAAAUUAAGAGCAACUGGUAAAAUAAAUACAAAUCUCAUUUGAA
Long non-coding RNA from Homo sapiens (human), 925 nucleotides. RefSeq lists it as uncharacterized. The record is from RefSeq and is a predicted model, not a curated record. The transcript is spliced from 2 exons. Lineage: Eukaryota; Metazoa; Chordata; Mammalia; Primates; Hominidae.